GACGAACGCCGGCGGCGUGCCUAAUACAUGCAAGUAGGACGCACAGUUUAUACCGUAGCUUGCUACACCAUAGACUGUGAGUUGCGAACGGGUGAGUAACGCGUAGGUAACCUGCCUAUUAGAGGGGGAUAACUAUUGGAAACGAUAGCUAAUACCGCAUAACAGUAUGUAACACAUGUUAGAUGCUUGAAAGAUGCAAUUGCAUCGCUAGUAGAUGGACCUGCGUUGUAUUAGCUAGUAGGUAGGGUAAAGGCCUACCUAGGCAACGAUACAUAGCCGACCUGAGAGGGUGAUCGGCCACACUGGGACUGAGACACGGCCCAGACUCCUACGGGAGGCAGCAGUAGGGAAUCUUCGGCAAUGGGGGGAACCCUGACCGAGCAACGCCGCGUGAGUGAAGAAGGUUUUCGGAUCGUAAAGCUCUGUUGUUAAGGAAGAACGAGUGUGAGAAUGGAAAGUUCAUACUGUGACGGUACUUAACCAGAAAGGGACGGCUAACUACGUGCCAGCAGCCGCGGUAAUACGUAGGUCCCGAGCGUUGUCCGGAUUUAUUGGGCGUAAAGCGAGCGCAGGCGGUUAGAAAAGUCUGAAGUGAAAGGCAGUGGCUCAACCAUUGUAGGCUUUGGAAACUGUUUAACUUGAGUGCAGAAGGGGAGAGUGGAAUUCCAUGUGUAGCGGUGAAAUGCGUAGAUAUAUGGAGGAACACCGGUGGCGAAAGCGGCUCUCUGGUCUGUAACUGACGCUGAGGCUCGAAAGCGUGGGGAGCGAACAGG
RNAcentral lists this ribosomal RNA (773 nucleotides) under Streptococcus anginosus. Its description in RNAcentral is "bacterial SSU rRNA". It matches the Rfam family "Bacterial small subunit ribosomal RNA", at positions 28 to 776 of the family's 1533-position model. The record is from RNAcentral. Lineage: Bacteria; Bacillati; Bacillota; Bacilli; Lactobacillales; Streptococcaceae.